CGCCGCCAUGUCCCACGUGCCCCGAGUUUCCUGGGCGGCCAUCUUGGUUAGGGGCAGAGGGCGCCCGAACCUUUUGCGAGACUCCGGAAAAUAAAAGGGGCAGGGUAACAGACUAAAGGCGGAUCCCAGGACAGACUGUGUGAACAGCUCCCAGCAGCCGAGACACACAGGAGGACAGCACAGCAUCCUGGCCUGCCUCCACUGAUCUCGGGGUGUGGCCUUCAAGAGAAUUCGGGCACUGGGGUGGAGCCCACCCAUGUCAGAGGCAGAAACUGGGAGCAGUGAGGGACCCUGCAGCCAUGUGUGGACCUGGCCUCUGCACACCCCCCCCCCAUGCGCAGUGCCGGGAAGAGCCUUUCAGGAAGGUGGACUCCAAGGAGCUGGCCCUUCCCGGGAAGCUGGGCUCUUAACCCCGUCGAGGGGCCACAGGCAUGGAAGACGGUGGAAACGCUUUCCAGUACUGGGGGAGAGCAGUGGGCGGAACCGCCAGCCACGCAAGCCCCGGCCAGGGACAGACACUCCCACGUCGAGGGUUCACAGCGAUCCCCGUUUUCAUCGAGCCUGGCUGCAGGACCCUGUUCUGGGGACCUGCGGCACUGGCCCUUGUGCAGACUUCACUUUUCAGAGCUGAACGUGACGCUCAAGGUCUCUCGCACCUGCACUGAGCUCCUCGUCCAUGCUCCUGUCCACACUCCGCCAGAGGUCCGUUUUCCUUGUUGGUGCGUCGUGUCGGUGCCCAGUGGUGGGUUCUUUUCGACAUGACCACACAUGCCUGGAGUUCAGUUUACUGUUUCAGGUCCCAGUGACCCCAACCGCCCUCUUCCCCGACUGUGCUGCCCACCGUCCACUCAUUUACUGGCUGGGUUGUGUUGGUGCUUUGUAGAUGCCCGUGAAGGAGGUCCAUUUAUACACGCACAGCGCCAUCUGUUGAACGCUUUCCACAUUCUCCACUCACCUGCGCACCACCCAGCCGCCCUCUUCCCUGUGAUUUCCUGUCCCCUGCCUGUCCCCUUGUCUUGCUCCAGCUGGCACACGUGAGAAAACACUGGGCCCUGGCCUGUCUCAGCCUGGCUUAUUUCACUUAGCAUCAUGUCCUCCAGUUCCUCCCAUCGACUGCCAAACGCCAUGACUUAAUUCUUUUGGCUGAGUAGAGAAUCAUCUGUGCCACAUUUUCUUUAUCCAUUCAUCUGUUGAUGGCCACCUGGGCGGGUUCCAUAGCUUGGCUACUGUGAAUCGUGCUGCUAUAAACACUGAGGUGGCUGCGUCAUGAUAGGGUGCUGAUUCUGGUUCUUUUGAUGAAUACCAAGGAGUGGCAUAGCUGGGUCACAUGGUAGUUCCGUUCCUAGUUCUUUGAGGACUCUUCAUUCUGCUUUCCAGAGUGGCUGCACUGAUUUGCAGUCCCACUAACAAUGAACAACUGUAAAUUUCCCCCAUAUCCUUGCCAGCGUUUAUUAUUAAUUGUGUUCUUGAAGAGUGCCAUUCUACCACAGUGACAUGGAAUCUCAAUGUAGUUUUUUUUUUUUUUUUUGGUACCCAGGGCACUCAGGCACUGAGCCACAUCCCCAGCCAUUGUUUAUGUUUUAUUUACAGACAGGGCCUUGCCAAGUUCCUGAGGCUGGCUUUGAACUCAUGAUCUUUUAACCCCUGUCUUUGAUCCACUGUGACAUGACUUUCCAGAGGGUCCAUCUUCACAGUUCAUGAGCUCUGCUGUCACUUCGUUAUCCACGAGGAGGCCAUAGUUGUAUAAGGGUUCAUCUUGUGUCAUAUGUCUAUGAGUUUGACAAACAAAUAACAGGUUGUUGCGACAAUGAUCCUGGAGACAACCCAACUCCCCUGGUUACCCCUCCUAUCAACCUGCUGUCAAGUGCUGUUGGUGAAGCUGCAGAACAGAGCAGGCACCACUGCGAGGAUCCUCAUCCUUCCUGGGUUGUGCCUGUCAGCCUCCCAGCCUCCCUCCCAACCUCCCUUCUAGCCUCCCACUCUUUGCCUCUGGAUUUCUGCAGCGGCUGCCCACCCCAGGUCUCUUGCUCUGCAAGGUCUGUUCUCCCCACAGGUGUUAGAGGGCACUCCAGCGCCUGACGUGCAUGUCCCUGCUCUGUUCCCAGUCCUCUCUGGGCAUCAAAAUACAUUGUCGAGUGGGGUGGGGUUGGGGCUCAGUGGUAGAGCGCUCGCCAAGCAUGUGCAAGGCCCUGGGUUCCAUUUGUUAGACCAGGACGCAAGAAAAGACCACUGACUCCAAUUAAAAUCAAAUUAAAGCCAGCUUAUUAUUUCAGCUGGCCGGGCUGCCUCUCCCAACAAGAACCUUGGGGACAGGAGCCCUGCAGUUUCCUGCAGCCCAGCUUUAUAGCCCAGAAAGUUACACACGGGUGUGUGUGUGUGUGUGUGUGUGUGUGUGUGUGUGUGUGUGUGAUAGAUGACAAAACU
Molecule: non-coding RNA, 2424 nt
Organism: Ictidomys tridecemlineatus (thirteen-lined ground squirrel)
Lineage: Eukaryota; Metazoa; Chordata; Mammalia; Rodentia; Sciuridae
Source: RefSeq, a predicted model, not a curated record